AUUGAACGCUGGCGGCAUGCCUUACACAUGCAAGUCGAACGGCAGCAUGAUCUAGCUUGCUCGAUUGAUGGCGAGUGGCGAGCGGGUGAGUCAUACAUCGGAACGUGCCCUGUGGUGGGGGAUAACUAGUCGAAAGAUUAGCUAAUACCGCAUACGACCUGAGGGUGAAAGUGGGGGACCGAAAGGCCUCAUGCCUUAGGCGCGGCCGAUGUUUGAUUAGCUAGUUGGUGAGGUAAAGGCUUACCAAGGCGACGAUCAGUAGCUGGUCUGAGAGGACGAUCAGCCACACUGGAACUGAGACACGGCCCAGACUCCUACGGGAGGCAGCAGUGGGGAAUUUUGGACAAUGGGCGAAAGCCUGAUCCAGCAAUGCCGCGUGUGUGAAGAAGGCCUUCGGGUUGUAAAGCACUUUUGUCCGGAAAGAAAUGGCUCUGGUUAAUACCUGGGGUCGAUGACGGUACCGGAAGAAUAAGGACCGGCUAACUACGUG
Molecule: ribosomal RNA, 490 nt
Filed under: uncultured bacterium
Lineage: Bacteria
Description: partial 16S ribosomal RNA
Rfam family: Bacterial small subunit ribosomal RNA
Source: RNAcentral